AUGUGUAUAAGAAAUUGAGGAUUAAUGUAUAGUAAUAAUAAUAAUAAUAUUAUAGUUAUUAUUAUUAUAAAAAUUUAAAAUUAAAUAUUAUAAAUUAUAAGAUUAUAGACUAUAGAAAGAAUUUCAUAAAUUACUCCUAUGGUUUCGUAUUUUCUCAUUUUAGUACCUUAUAGUUUAAGGUGUAUCACUUUCAUACUCUGUGAUUUUAUUUUUUUGUUAUUCCCUUCCACUAUUUUUUUCUCAUUAAAUCAGUGACAAAGUUAAAACCAAAGGGUACUAAAGUGAAUAUUCGAUAAACUAUAUGUGGGGUAUCUGAAGUUUUUUGCAUAUGAUUUAAUAAAAAGUUAACGGAGGGGCCGGCAAAAAGAAAAAAAUGGAAUAAUAGGAUACUAAAUUGAUAUAUUUUAAAUUAUAGGAUACUAAAGUGAAAAUAUACGAAAUCAUAGAUAUAGUAUUUGAAUUUUACCCUAAAU
Molecule: long non-coding RNA, 473 nt
Filed under: Ananas comosus (pineapple)
Lineage: Eukaryota; Viridiplantae; Streptophyta; Magnoliopsida; Poales; Bromeliaceae
Description: long non-coding RNA (ACOM_LNC014530)
Source: RNAcentral